UACCUCAGUAACGGCGAGUGAAGCGGUAACAGCUCAAAUUUGAAAGCUAGCUCUUUUAGGGUUCGCAUUGUAAUUUGUAGAAGAUGCUUCGGGUGUGGCCCCGGUCUAAGUUCCUUGGAACAGGACGUCAUAGAGGGUGAGAAUCCCGUAUGUGACUGGGUGCUUUCGCUCAUGUGAAGCUCUUUCGACGAGUCGAGUUGUUUGGGAAUGCAGCUCAAAAUGGGUGGUAAAUUUCAUCUAAAGCUAAAUAUUGGCCAGAGACCGAUAGCGCACAAGUAGAGUGAUCGAAAGAUGAAAAGCACUUUGGAAAGAGAGUUAAACAGUACGUGAAAUUGUUGAAAGGGAAGCGCUUGCAACCAGACUUGCGCGCUGAUGAUCAUCCGGGCUUCUGCCCGGUGCACUCGUCUGCGCUCAGGCCAGCAUCGGUUUCGGUGGUGGGAUAAAGGCCUUGGGAAUGUAGCUCCUCUCGGGGAGUGUUAUAGCCCUCGGUGCAAUGCCGCCUACCGGGACCGAGGACCGCGCUUCGGCUAGGAUGCUGGCGUAAUGGUUGUAAGCGACCCGUCUUGAAACACGGACCAAGGAGUCUAACAUCUAUGCGAGUGUUUGGGUGUCAAACCCAUACGCGUAAUGAAAGUGAACGGAGGUGAGAACCCUUAAGGGUGCAUCAUCGACCGAUCCUGAUGUCUUCGGAUGGAUUUGAGUAAGAGCAUAGCUGUUGGGACCCGAAAGAUGGUGAACUAUGCGUGAAUAGGGUGAAGCCAGAGGAAACUCUGGUGGAGGCUCGCAGCGGUUCUGACGU
This 799-nucleotide ribosomal RNA is filed under the name Cadophora malorum. Its description in RNAcentral is "eukaryotic LSU rRNA". It matches the Rfam family "Eukaryotic large subunit ribosomal RNA", at positions 76 to 892 of the family's 3401-position model. The record is from RNAcentral. Lineage: Eukaryota; Fungi; Ascomycota; Leotiomycetes; Helotiales; Ploettnerulaceae. RNAcentral also lists the same sequence under 1 other name.